GGAGGCAUGGUUCAAAUGGUAGAGUUCUUGCUUAACGAGCAAGAGUUCCCUGAGUUCAAUCCCCAGUUCUACCA
This 74-nucleotide transfer RNA is filed under the name Dipodomys ordii (Ord's kangaroo rat). It matches the Rfam family "tRNA". Rfam says of the family: Transfer RNA (tRNA) molecules are approximately 80 nucleotides in length. Their secondary structure includes four short double-helical elements and three loops (D, anti-codon, and T loops). Further hydrogen bonds mediate the characteristic L-shaped molecular structure. tRNAs have two regions of fundamental functional importance: the anti-codon, which is responsible for specific mRNA codon recognition, and the 3' end, to which the tRNAs corresponding amino acid is attached (by aminoacyl-tRNA synthetases). tRNAs cope with the degeneracy of the genetic code in two manners: having more than one tRNA (with a specific anti-codon) for a particular amino acid; and 'wobble' base-pairing, i.e. permitting non-standard base-pairing at the 3rd anti-codon position. The record is from Rfam by way of RNAcentral. Lineage: Eukaryota; Metazoa; Chordata; Mammalia; Rodentia; Heteromyidae.